GUCCUUCGGGGCGAGUAAAGUGGCGCACGGGUGAGUAACGCGUGGAUAAUCUACCCUUAAGAUGGGGAUAACGGCUGGAAACGGUCGCUAAUACCGAAUACGCUCCCGAUUUUACCGUUGGGGGGAAAGAUGGCCUCUGCUUGCAAGCUAUCGCUUAAGGAUGAGUCCGCGUCCCAUUAGCUAGUUGGCGGGGUAACGGCCCACCAAGGCGACGAUGGGUAGCCGGUCUGAGAGGAUGACCGGCCACACUGGAACUGGAACACGGUCCAGACUCCUACGGGAGGCAGCAGUGGGGAAUAUUGCGCAAUGGGCGAAAGCCUGACGCAGCGACGCCGCGUGAGGGAUGAAGGUUCUCGGAUCGUAAACCUCUGUCAGGGGGGAAGAAACCCCCUCGUGUGAAUAAUGCGAGGGCUUGACGGUACCCCCAAAGGAAGCACCGGCUAACUCCGUGCCAGCAGCCGCGGUAAUACGGAGGGUGCAAGCGUUAAUCGGAAUCACUGGGCGUAAAGCGCACGUAGGCGGCUCGGUAAGUCAGGGGUGAAAUCCCACAGCCCAACUGUGGAACUGCCCUUGAUACUGCCGGGCUUGAGUACCGGAGAGGGUGGCGGAAUUCCAGGUGUAGGAGUGAAAUCCGUAGAUAUCUGGAGGAACACCGGUGGCGAAGGCGGCCACCUGGACGGUAACUGACGCUGAGGCGCGAAAGCGUGGGUAGCAAACAGGAUUAGAUACCCUGGUAGUCCACGCUGUAAACGAUGGGUGCUGGGUGCUGGG
This 771-nucleotide ribosomal RNA is filed under the name uncultured bacterium. Its description in RNAcentral is "bacterial SSU rRNA". It matches the Rfam family "Bacterial small subunit ribosomal RNA", at positions 75 to 827 of the family's 1533-position model. The record is from RNAcentral.